This 580-nucleotide ribosomal RNA is filed under the name uncultured bacterium. RNAcentral describes it as "bacterial SSU rRNA". It matches the Rfam family "Bacterial small subunit ribosomal RNA", at positions 102 to 694 of the family's 1533-position model. The record is from RNAcentral.
ACGGGUGAGUAACACGUGGGUGAUCUGCCCUGCACUUUGGGAUAAGCCUGGGAAACUGGGUCUAAUACCGAAUACACCUCGCUGGCUGCAUGGCCUGGUGGGGGAAAGCUUUUGCGGUGUGGGAUGGGCCCGCGGCCUAUCAGCUUGUUGGUGGGGUGAUGGCCUACCAAGGCGACGACGGGUAGCCGGCCUGAGAGGGUGUCCGGCCACACUGGGACUGAGAUACGGCCCAGACUCCUACGGGAGGCAGCAGUGGGGAAUAUUGCACAAUGGGCGCAAGCCUGAUGCAGCGACGCCGCGUGUGGGAUGACGGCCUUCGGGUUGUAAACCUCUUUCAGCAUCGACGAAGCGCAAGUGACGGUAGAUGCAGAAGAAGCACCGGCCAACUACGUGCCAGCAGCCGCGGUAAUACGUAGGGUGCGAGCGUUGUCCGGAAUUACUGGGCGUAAAGAGCUCGUAGGUGGUUUGUCGCGUUGUCCGUGAAAACUCACAGCUUAACUGUGGGCGUGCGGGCGAUACGGGCAGACUGGAGUACUGCAGGGGAGACUGGAAUUCCUGGUGUAGCGGUGGAAUGCGCAGA